RNAcentral lists this unclassified non-coding RNA (1300 nucleotides) under Bombus terrestris (buff-tailed bumblebee). RNAcentral describes it as "misc RNA ENSBTSG00005027828.1". Lineage: Eukaryota; Metazoa; Arthropoda; Insecta; Hymenoptera; Apidae. The record is from RNAcentral.
AUUCAUGCUGAUUCAAUACACAUUCGUGUCAGUAUGAUCGUUCAUGCUCGCUAUCGACUAACUCUCGAACUCUAACUUAAUGCAGUAAACGAACUUUGAAAUAUAACGACGCUUCAAAAAAAAAGAAAAAAAAAAACAAAAUAGGAGCGCACUUAGAUUUGUUUAAAAAUUCGUGUUUAAUUGGUGAAAUUCUACUACAAACUAGUAGAAAAAUGAUUAAAGUUAGGCACGUUGCUGGGGAUGGACACUCGAAUUUCCUGACUUGGCAUUUUCUCGAGAUAGAGGAGGUGCAGAAAAUAAAUCCCUUCAAGUUCUGGCGGAGAAGCAAUAGAGCAAAUUGAUUCGCCGUUUUCACUAAUUAACUUCAAUAAUCAGCAUCCUUCCUCUUUCACACCACCAUAUUCUUUGAUGACAGACAAUAUACUCUCGAUUGUUCCAAAAAUCUGAUAAAAGAUAAACAGUUGGAAAAUUAUUCGAUAUGAAACACAGGUCUUUUAAUCCAAUAUCAUUUCAUCCAUUUACUCAUAAAAGUCAAUAAACAGAAAAGUUCUAUCAUCCAAAAUCUAUUUAUUCCAUUUGGUACGGAAAGACUGGAAUAUUUUUAUUCUGUUUCAUGACGGAAGAAAGAAAAAAGUAAAUAUUUAAAACAACUUAAAUUGUAGAGUACAGUAAAUUUUCAUCUAUAAAAUCUGCCACAUAGAUCUAUGAGUGUUCCGUCAAGUUACUUAAUUUAAGUAAAUGAACUAAAAAUGCGGAACAUUAAAUCAUUGAAACGUUUUAAUGGAAACAUUUUAACUUUUACUUGAAACUGUAGAAACUCGACUGGAAUAGAAUCCAAUUGGAAAAAUAAAUAGGACUAAAAAAAUUAGAGUGCAUACGAUUUCCAAGUAAUAUUGAAUUGGUUAUGUAUCAAAUGGGAACCUAAGCAAGGAUCUACUGUUAAAUUAUAGAUUAGAUCUUGCAUUUUGUUUUGUAAUCCGGCAAAGAAAUAUGUAAGCAGUUGAAACGCGUCUAGCGAAAUAUACAUUCUGCAUUUUGUACGUUUUGUACUUGUACAUUUUGUAUACUUUAAAAUAUCUUCGUUCGAAAUGAAACAAAACAUAAGAAAAAUAAACACAACAAGCAACAUAAAGUGCAGGAAAUUAACUAUCGUAUGAUGAAGUAUGAAACAGCUAGGCCUUAAAAUUGACGUAAAAAAAUAAAUGAUAGCGUUUAUAUAAAUGUUUGAACUCAAAGUUCGUCAUUUCUACUUCUCACUGAUAAUUGUCCAGCCGCUAAUUCUUCUCGUUAAUUAGGGGAA